GGGUUCUUGUCGGGGUGCCCUAUACGAGGGGCUGAGAUCGGAUAGUUCCGGAUCCCGUUGAACCUGAUCGGGCUAGCGUCCGGUUCCGCCUCGCGCGGACCGCAGCAACCCGCGUAGGGAACAAGAUGUCCGCGCCA
This 137-nucleotide non-coding RNA is filed under the name Pseudomonas aeruginosa. RNAcentral's name for it is "TPP sequence". It matches the Rfam family "TPP riboswitch aptamer (THI element)". Rfam says of the family: Vitamin B(1) in its active form thiamin pyrophosphate (TPP) is an essential coenzyme that is synthesised by coupling of pyrimidine and thiazole moieties in bacteria. Lineage: Bacteria; Pseudomonadati; Pseudomonadota; Gammaproteobacteria; Pseudomonadales; Pseudomonadaceae. The record is from RNAcentral. RNAcentral also lists the same sequence under 1 other name.